RNAcentral lists this ribosomal RNA (253 nucleotides) under uncultured bacterium. RNAcentral describes it as "partial 16S ribosomal RNA". It matches the Rfam family "Bacterial small subunit ribosomal RNA", at positions 524 to 776 of the family's 1533-position model. The record is from RNAcentral.
UACGUAGGGUGCAAGCGUUAUCCGGAAUUAUUGGGCGUAAAGAGCUCGUAGGCGGUUUGUCGCGUCUGCUGUGAAAACCCGAGGCUCAACCUCGGGCCUGCAGUGGGUACGGGCAGACUAGAGUGCGGUAGGGGAGAUUGGAAUUCCUGGUGUAGCGGUGAAAUGCGCAGAUAUCAGGAGGAACACCGGUGGCGAAGGCGGGUCUCUGGGCCGAUAUUGACGCUGAGGAGCGAAAGCGUGGGGAGCGAACAGG